RNAcentral lists this long non-coding RNA (2060 nucleotides) under Phoenix dactylifera (date palm). RNAcentral's name for it is "long non-coding RNA (PDAC_LNC012953)". The record is from RNAcentral. Lineage: Eukaryota; Viridiplantae; Streptophyta; Magnoliopsida; Arecales; Arecaceae.
GUGUGUAUGUUAAUGUGGUACAUUUACAUUCUGUCAGACCCUGGAACUGGGCCUGGUCCAUUUAACCGGCCCAGUCCCAAGUGUCCGCCUCACAUGAGGGAAUCCAUCCCAAAGAAGGAGCUCCUGUUUUAGGGCUUCUUCUCCUUCUCCUUUGAAGCCACCAAGAUAGAGCCGCCACACCCAAGGAAGAGGAGGGGGUUCUUCGUGUUGCCGCCGAAAGAGAGAGAGAGAGAGGGCCGUUGGGUGGCUUUCUUCUUCCUUUGCCGCCGGAUCUUGGGCUGAGGUAAGGUUUUCUACCCUUCACUUCUUUGUUAUACCGUUUGGAAAAAAAAAGAAAGAAAGAAAGAAAGAAAGAAGAAGAGAGGGAAGAAGGAGAAGGCCGACCGCCGCGGGCUCUUCUUCUUCUCCCGUGCGCAUGCCUCCUCCGCGGGAAGAAGGAGAGGGUCGGCCGCCGCGGGCACCGCCGGCCUCGACUUGGCCUCUCCCGAGCUCGCUGACCUCCCUUCGCGGGAGAAGAAAGAUGAAAAAAGAAGGGGGGGUAGGAGAAGAAGUCGGGAGAGAGAAGAGGAGGAGAGAGAAAAAGAAAGAAGAAAGAAAGGGGGGAAGGAAGAAAGAAGUCGGAAGAAGAUUCUGGAGAAGAAGAGAAGAAAAGAAAAAGAAAAGGGAAGGAAAGAGAAGAAGGGAAAAGAAAAAGAAAAUAAGAAGGAAAAAGAAAAGAAAAGAAGGAAAAAGAAAAAUAAUAAUAAUAAAUAAAUAAAUAAAGAGAGGAGGUGGUUUACGGGUAUAAACCCGAAUUCGAGGUGCUAGGCACUUCUGCAGGGUCAGCCAUAGGAGAAUAUUAAAAUUUAAGUUUAUGUAUAUAUAUAUAUUAUGAUAAAUUUUAAAAGAAGAAUAUGAUUUUUGGAUAUUAGGUUCUGCGAGAGAUUUGCAUAAUUAAUUGGAUUUGUUGUGGAUCACGUUCGCAAGGUAAGUAAUGUAACCUCUUUACUAGAUUUAUCGGCAAACUAUGUAUGUUUUACGAAUCGAAUAAUUCGUGAUUACGAAUUUAAUGCAUGGGUUAUAUGUAUAUUUUUAGAAUAUUGUAUGACUUUGAUUUAACGUAUUUGCUUCUGAUUUGGAUCGUGUUCGAUUGCUCUGUUAUUGUACCUUUCAGCUUGGAACACUGAAUAUAAUAUGAGAAAAGAUAAUGACUUGAAAUAGAUUCAGACUCGCAGUCAAGCUAUGUUGAGGAUCCUGCCAAUGGGGACUAAUACAUUGAUAACGCAAAAAGAUUAGUUGGUGAUAUGACCCUGCCACAGGGAACAUGUAGUCAUAGUUUCUGGCUAUUGAGUUGAAUCUGAUAAAUUGAAAGAAAUUAAGAUAUGAACGAUAUUUGGUUUUGACAUUGCAUGUUUUCAUAACUGAAAUAUGAAAUAGAGAACUAAUUGAACUUCGACCUGGCUAUGUUGAGGACCCCGCCAAUGGGGGCAGAUACGUUAGCAAUUGACUGUCCUGAAGGACUCACGAAAAUUAGUCGGUGUUGGUGACCCUGCCACAGGGAAUAUGUGGUCAGAGUGCAGGAUCGACAAGAUGAAUUGAAUAUGUGAAAGAAACUCGAAACCGUACAAAAAUCUUAAGAAUUUAAGAAAUAUUUGACUUGUACCUUGGAAUUGCAUAUAUAUUUAUUUUCUACAUAUUAUUGCCUGAUUUAUCUAGCUAGAAUGUUCAUUACUUAUUGAGCCUUUAGCUCAUUAUACAAUUUCUUGAUGUUUUACAGAUUUCGAGAACUAGUCUAUUGGGGUUCUAAAAUGGAAGAGCGACUAGAAGGAUUGUGGCGCAAGCUAUCUUAGAUUAGGAUCAUUUAAGUUGAACUGUUAUCUUGGACAUUUAUUAUGAUUGUUAGAUAUUGCAAGGUUUUGUUAUUUUAAGAACUAAGUUUUGCAUGUUGGUAAACUAUUGUUCCGUUGCGUAUUUAGAACUGUGAGACUUAUGACUUGAGUUAGUAAAUGGAAUAAAAAUUAUAUUUUUAUUUAGUUAAAUUAUUUUAGAUUUAUAUAAUUGAGAUGUGUGGUUAAGAUGCC